RNAcentral lists this long non-coding RNA (1551 nucleotides) under Helianthus annuus (common sunflower). The record is from RNAcentral. Lineage: Eukaryota; Viridiplantae; Streptophyta; Magnoliopsida; Asterales; Asteraceae.
AAGCAACUAAAUAACCCUAAUUUUCAUAAUCCAAGUCUCUUGCCACCACCAUCUUCCAUCUCUAAUCGCCACCAUCGUGUUUUUUGUCUGUCACCGCCACGUUUUACAAACCCUAGAUAUCAACACAAGUUCUUCUUCUUUCUUCGUUAAUCGUUCUUCUAACACUUUGUUUUCAUUUUGAUUUUUAAGAUUUCAUAGAUUUUAGAUACCAAUGUUUCUUCAUUUAUGUAGAAGUAACUUUCAAAAUAUUUGAAACUAUUUUGACCUGAUAUUGCUUCGUAUGUUGUAAUUGAAACGAAAUUGAGUGAAAUAAUCAUAGAAUAAUAACAUUUGGAAAAGAUAAUUCUGUGAAAUCAAAGAUCUUUAAGCCCACUUCCGUGUCUCUACCCUUCAUCCUUUAACCAAUGGGCGAUUAGAAGCAAGAUCAAUUUAGAAGCAGCCCAGCCCUGGGGAUGAAAUUCAAUAAAAUUGAAUUCUAGGUUUUGGUUAAUUUGUAGUUGUGAUUCGAUAUGCAGAAGCAUCUGUGAGGUUUGUUUAGGAUCAUUAAAAACAAACUUUAAUCCAUCAAUUCUUCAUCAAUCUGAUGUGUAAGUCAAGCAAACCGUGAAAAGGGAAUGUGUAACGGCGACCCACCAGAUCCGGGGAUAGAGGGACGCUUAUAGGUAUCAGACGAGACGAGACGGUGAUGAUUCUGACCAAGAAUCAUAUGGUGGUACAAGGUGAUGAUGUUUUAGGUGAUGAAAGUUCAGAUGUCUUUGCAACAAACUCAAAUGGACAGGUUCUAUUUACUAAUUAGUUUACUGUGGAUGCGGUCAUCAAUUCGAAAUCUAGCCAGGAGGAUGUGUUUCAGUUGGUUGGUGUUUCCAUGGUUAAGUGUGCAAUGGUAGCUUACAACACUUCUAUGGUGGCUUAUGCACAGAUGGCUGACUCAAUGGAUAUGGGUGGACAUUUAUACACACCAACCCUCUGUCGUAUUAUAUCUUUCACCGGUCUGCACCUUUUGCCACUACACAGACAACCUUCCGAAUCUCCCCUCGAUAAUGGCUUCUUCUAUCACUUAUAUACACCUGAUCACACGCACUCAUUCCAAAGUUUCACUCACUGGUGUCCGUCAUGACUGUUUACGUUGCCGUCGCACUCACCGCCGUCAUCCUUCUCUUUUCGGCUACUCACUCCUCCAUCGUCGGAGUGGAGUAUGUUUCUCGUCUUCUUCAGGUUCAGGAUCGAGAGAGAGCUCCGUCAUCCGUACAACUUUCCGCUGCUAGAGCGGUGCUUGAUCGCUUUAUCCCUUCGCAUUCAUCCAGUUUCCAAUUUAACAUCAUCACUUAAGUAAAUUUCAUUUUCGUUUAUUGUUUAUUUAAAUAGGGCUUUGUAAUUUUUUACUAUACCUGCUGGAUUAUGAUAUUUGAUUUCCCUUGCAUCUUUUGACUUUUGUGGAAAUUCAAUUGACUGAUGAAGUCAAUCAGGUGUUUUUUGAUUUUCCUUAUAGCGUUCAGAUAGUGAGAGAAAGUUGAGUAAAAUAAAUUUUUGGAUGAUAGUGAAGGAAUUAAG